This 519-nucleotide ribosomal RNA is filed under the name Oplegnathus punctatus (spotted knifejaw). Its description in RNAcentral is "partial 16S ribosomal RNA". It matches the Rfam family "Bacterial large subunit ribosomal RNA", at positions 1848 to 2565 of the family's 2925-position model. The record is from RNAcentral. Lineage: Eukaryota; Metazoa; Chordata; Actinopteri; Centrarchiformes; Oplegnathidae.
AGAGGUCCCGCCUGCCCUGUGACUAUAUGUUUAACGGCCGCGGUAUUUUGACCGUGCAAAGGUAGCGCAAUCACUUGUCUUUUAAAUGGAGACCCGUAUGAAUGGCAUAACGAGGGCUUAACUGUCUCCUUUUUCAAGUCAAUGAAAUUGAUCUCCCCGUGCAGAAGCGGGGAUAGACCCAUAAGACGAGAAGACCCUAUGGAGCUUUAGACACCAAGGCAGAUCAUGUUAAGCACCCCCGAAUAAAGGACUAAACCAGAGGAUUCCUGCCCUAAUGUCUUUGGUUGGGGCGACCGUGGGGAAACAAAAAACCCCCAUGUGGAACGGGAAUACCCUUUCCUAAAACUAAGAGCCCCCGCUCUAAUAAGCAGAAUUUCUGACCAAUCAGAUCCGGCAACGCCGAUCAACGGACCGAGUUACCCUAGGGAUAACAGCGCAAUCCUCUUUUAGAGCCCAUAUCGACAAGAGGGUUUACGACCUCGAUGUUGGAUCAGGACAUCCUAAUGGUGCAGCCGCUAU